Molecule: long non-coding RNA, 480 nt
Organism: Dioscorea cayenensis subsp. rotundata (Guinea yam)
Lineage: Eukaryota; Viridiplantae; Streptophyta; Magnoliopsida; Dioscoreales; Dioscoreaceae
Exons: 4
Source: RefSeq, a predicted model, not a curated record
AUAAUUUAGGAGGAGAUGAAGAUGUGGGCAUUGGAAUCCAUGGUGCUGCUUCUGAUCUUGAUUUUCUCCAAUGUUUUGGGAUCCAAAGGCAUGGGGUUCAAUCUUAGUAUGGAUGUUUUCAUUUAUGGUCCGGCGAUCUGGCUCUCCGAUGGUGUCAAUGAACUCAAUCUACUCUUUGAAGAUUUUGGAGGCUUUGAUGGUCUCUAUACUAAAAUAUAUUUAGUAUGGUGACCAUUGGUUUUCCUCUUAUAGAGCUUUUUAUUGCGAAGCCGGUAAGGUUGAGCUUAGGAAUGGUAUGGCCUGAAGAAGUAGAUCAAGCUGUUGGUUCAACAUGGUUCUGGAAAUGGCAGUCAGAAGCUGAAAUGAAUUACAAAGCUAGAAAAAGAGAUACCAUCCGAUGAAAACCUAUCGUCAGUUUCAAUUUAGCAGAAGAAUUAGUAGGAAAAAGGAGGGCACUGAUCCGAUAAGGUCAGCUUUUGA